CUUCGACCUGAGUUCAGACGAGACUACCCGCCGAACUUAAGCAUAUCAAUAAGCGGAGGAAAAGAAACUAA
Molecule: ribosomal RNA, 71 nt
Filed under: Tetraselmis sp. IOAC709S
Lineage: Eukaryota; Viridiplantae; Chlorophyta; Chlorodendrophyceae; Chlorodendrales; Chlorodendraceae
Description: partial 28S ribosomal RNA
Rfam family: Eukaryotic large subunit ribosomal RNA
Source: RNAcentral